AACUCAACUAAUAAAUGACUAGAAAUAGUUAUAAGGUGCUGUCGCUCGCGUUAUGACAGACAAAACUACUCUGCCAUGUCUCUGUCUGUGCGGAAUACAUAAAGGCUCUGCCUUGAAUUAAUCACUCGCUCUUUAAUGGAUCUUUGAGGAUCGCGCUUGACGCAGUGAGGAGCUGCAGCUCUUUGUAUUCCGAGGCCAAGAGGAACCUUGUGUGUGUGUGUGCGCGCGUGAUUUUUUUUUUAACCCUCGUCCGAUAUCUACUGCCUCUUAGAAAAUGUCAAGGGGGUACAUGGUGACAUAGGGACCCCGGUUUGGUUACGGAGAGACUCUUGCUUUGCUCUGCGAAAGAGGGAUAGGCCAGCUACUGAUGGCGAUUCUCAGACAUGCAUGUGAUCACUAGACAGUUUAACCAGGGGUGCACCUCUGGGCCUAUGAAUGAGACUAAAAUGGUGGAAGAGAAGAAAAGACAAGAGGAUGAAAGCCAUCAACAAUGCUCUACCCUGGGGAAAUAAGCACAGGCCAUUUUGAAUUGGUGAAACAUUAAGACCCAGCUCUAGCACUCCACUAGUGUGAAAACUUCUCCAUUGGAGACUUAACCUGUAAAUACAUAAACUAUGGUCAGUGGGUUUAAUAAGGGGCUGACAUAUCAGUGCAGAAACCCUCAACUCAUGUGAAAUAAUUCUCUGGACCAGAGACUGGACAUUUUGUCCCUUGGCUAAAGGGAAAGGGUUUAUUACCCUACUUAAAUACUGUGAGGCUCCAUCCAGCCUAGUUCAAACUCAAGUGGUACCCCAAGCU
This 798-nucleotide long non-coding RNA is filed under the name Sinocyclocheilus grahami. RNAcentral's name for it is "lncRNA (ENSSGRG00000021399.1)". Lineage: Eukaryota; Metazoa; Chordata; Actinopteri; Cypriniformes; Cyprinidae. The record is from RNAcentral.